RNAcentral lists this ribosomal RNA (601 nucleotides) under uncultured archaeon. Its description in RNAcentral is "bacterial SSU rRNA". It matches the Rfam family "Archaeal small subunit ribosomal RNA", at positions 1 to 610 of the family's 1478-position model. The record is from RNAcentral.
UUUCCGGUUGAUCCCGCCGGACCCGACUGCUAUCAGAGUGGGACUAAGCCAUGCGAGUCAACGCAGCAAUGCGUGGCACACGGCUCAGUAACACGUAGUCAACAUGCCCAGGGGACGUGGAUAACCUCGGGAAACUGAGGAUAAACCGCGAUAGGCCAAGGUUUCUGGAAUGGACACUGGCUGAAACCUACAUGGCCCCUGGAUUGGACUGCGGCCGAUCAGGCUGUUGGUGAGGUAAUGGCCCACCAAACCUGUAACCGGUACGGGCUUUGAGAGAAGGAGCCCGGAGAUGGGCACUGAGACAAGGGCCCAGGCCCUAUGGGGCGCAGCAGGCGCGAAAAUUCUGCAAUAGGCGAAAGCUUGACAGAGUUACUCUGAGUGAUGCCCGCUAAGGGCAUCUUUUGGCACCUCUAAAAAUGGUGCAGAAUAAGGGGUGGGCAAGUCUGGUGUCAGCCGCCGCGGUAAUACCAGCACCCCGAGUGGUCGGGACGAUUAUUGGGCCUAAAGCAUCCGUAGCUUGUUCUGCAAGUCUUCCGUUAAAUCCACCUGCUCAACAGAUGGGCUGCGGGAGAUACUACAGGGCUAGGAGGCGGGAGAGGCA